GCUCCCAUCGUUCAAUGGAUAGGAUGCUAGCUUGCGGAGCUUGUGAUCUGGGUUCGAUUCCCAGUGGGAGCG
This 72-nucleotide transfer RNA is filed under the name Candidatus Diapherotrites archaeon CG11_big_fil_rev_8_21_14_0_20_37_9. RNAcentral describes it as "tRNA-Arg". It matches the Rfam family "tRNA". From Rfam's summary of the family: Transfer RNA (tRNA) molecules are approximately 80 nucleotides in length. The record is from RNAcentral. Lineage: Archaea; Nanobdellati; Candidatus Iainarchaeota.